RNAcentral lists this ribosomal RNA (497 nucleotides) under uncultured bacterium. Its description in RNAcentral is "partial 16S ribosomal RNA". It matches the Rfam family "Bacterial small subunit ribosomal RNA", at positions 28 to 507 of the family's 1533-position model. The record is from RNAcentral.
GAUGAACGCUGGCGGCGUGCCUAAUACAUGCAAGUCGAGCGAACAGACGAGGAGCUUGCUCCUCUGACGUUAGCGGCGGACGGGUGAGUAACACGUGGAUAACCUACCUAUAAGACUGGGAUAACUUCGGGAAACCGGAGCUAAUACCGGAUAAUAUAUUGAACCGCAUGGUUCAAUAGUGAAAGACGGUUUUGCUGUCACUUAUAGAUGGAUCCGCGCCGCAUUAGCUAGUUGGUAAGGUAACGGCUUACCAAGGCAACGAUGCGUAGCCGAACUGUGAGGGUGAUCGGCCACACGGGAACGGAGACGCGGUCCAGACGCCUACGGGAGGCAGCAGUAGGGAAUCGUCCGCAAUGGGCGAAAGUUUGACGGAGCAACGGCGCGUGAGUGAUGAAGGUCUUCGGAUCGUAAAACUCUGUUAUUAGGGAAGAACAAAUGUGUAAGGAACUAUGCACGUCUUGACGGUACCUAAUCAGAAAGCCACGGCUAACUACGUG